UACACUUUUGUAUACGCUUCAUAAUAACAACAGCAAGGACGAUAGUGUUUUUAUUGUAAUCAUCCAUAGCAACGCUGCUUAAGAUCUACCAUUCCAGAAGUUUUGACACGAGAAUUUUAUGAAAAAAAUGAUACGCAAACACGAUGUUAAAAUAGAGGAUUCUUCAUUACGGAAAGGUCCUCUAUAUCGAAUAUUAGUGGCAUCUAAAGGUUGAAAUAACAAGAUAUUAGCUGCCAUCUUGCAAGAUUAUAAUAUAUAUCAAAAAAUAUAUUCCAACAAAUACUGAAUCUUCUUCUCUGACAAAUAAUACAAUGAUGAUAUACAAAAAGAUCCAAAUUGAAAAGGAAAAACUGUCACAAGUCAAAAUAUAAACAUAAAUCUUGUGAGCAAAACUGUUUUCUUCUGUCUUCUAAAAGAUCAUCCGAAAGAAUAUCGGCCAAAAUAAUUUUGUCGCAGUGAACAUGUUUCAAAUAUCAAGAUAAGAAGCACCAUGAUAAGAAGAAAUUAUGUAAUUAUGUAAGCUGUGGUGAUGAGUGUUGUCUUCUAAGCUUAAAAGAGUCUUUUUGUGGUUGUUUCUAUGCAUAGAAGGCUCAUGUCAAUAUAACGAAACUAAAGUAUGAAUAAGACAUUGAGACAAUAUUUUCAAAUCAUGUCAAUUUCAAUGACAAUUCUUCAAUUCUAUAGUUAAAACGUUUGAUCAAUUUUCUUGAAUAAUGGAAUGACGGAUUCUACAUUAUUCAGUAUUUCUCUUCAGUCUAAUUCUAGAAAUUUUAAUUAAGUGUUGUUGGCCCAUUAUGUGCCUCAAUGAGAAAUGUACUGAAAUAAAAGUGGAAAAGAACAAAAACAUUCCUAUAAAUCUGAAGAUAAUUAGAAAUUUAUAAACUCUUAAACUAUUUGGACUAAAUAAAGUUCUUAGAAGCUUUAUGAAUUCAGUAAACUUUGCAUCACAGUGCAUGUUUAUCAUCUUAAACUAUUUGGAUUAAAUAAAGUUCUUAGAAGCUUUAUGAAUUCAGUAAACUUUACAUCACAGUGUAUGUUUAUCAUGUGGACAAGUAUGGAAUAUUUUAAUAUGGACCCAAUAAUAAAGAAUUUCAGGCUAUUGAUUAUUACAUAAUAACACUAAUAAUUUAAGAAGCAGAGAUCGUCCGUGCAAUGUCAAUGAUAGAAAAAAAUGCUAUUGUUAGCCUUUGCAACAUCGGCCAUCUGAGAAGAAAAAUUUUAGUAUAAGAUUAGUUAUUAUUUAAUUUAAAAAAUAUUUAUUUAAUAAUAAAUGUCUUCCUUUUGUUCCAGUCGAUAUAUUGCCUUCUCAAACAGCAUAACAGAUUGUACGAGUACAAAUAUAUUCAACGGUUUAAACAUUCGAGAUGAUUAUUGGAGAAAAUGGAACGGAAUCCUUCGUUCUAAAAAUAUGUGUUGCAAACAGAUGAAGCGUUUGGCACAAGCGUUCGUUAAUCUAUCAUCUUUAUGGCAUUUGAUAUUAUUAUAUAUUGGAUUUAUAUAUGUAUACUACUACUACUAAUAGGCUAAAUAUUAAUAUUUAGUAUAAAAUUAGUAUAAAAUAUUUCUAGAAGAUAUUCUUUCUAAAUUCUAUUCUAAAAGAAAUUCCAUUACAGAUUUGAAACAUGAUCUUUCAACAUGAUAAUUCAUACCGCUAAAAAUAUCUAGGCCUAUUUUAGAUGAAAUCUUUCGAGACGGGAUAUGAAAUUUUGGAUUUUUUUUUUUUUGGAAAUAUUUGAAAAAUGAAGUGUACCGUUAUCCAUCAACAUUAAAUGGAGAAAAUGAGUACAUAGACGCGAAAUAAUGUUGGCUACAUAUCGAUUGAACACGAUAUAUAUGUAAUAAAUUAACCCAACAUAUCGAAGAAACUGUGUUACAUGUAACAAAUAUUUCUAUUUAUUAAUAAAAAAUACAUAAUUUGAGUAAAAAGGAAUA
This 1932-nucleotide long non-coding RNA is filed under the name Apis mellifera (honey bee). RNAcentral's name for it is "uncharacterized LOC102654588". The record is from RNAcentral. Lineage: Eukaryota; Metazoa; Arthropoda; Insecta; Hymenoptera; Apidae.